This 427-nucleotide ribosomal RNA is filed under the name uncultured bacterium. RNAcentral describes it as "bacterial SSU rRNA". It matches the Rfam family "Bacterial small subunit ribosomal RNA", at positions 355 to 774 of the family's 1533-position model. The record is from RNAcentral.
UGGGGAAUUUUGGACGAUGGGCGCAAGCCUGAUCCAGCAAUGCCGCGUGCAGGAUGAAGGCCUUCGGGUUGUAAAGCUCUUUCGGCAGGAACGAAACGGCGAGCUCUAACAUAGCUUGCUAAUGACGGUACCUGAAGAAGAAGCACCGGCUAACUACGUGCCAGCAGCCGCGGUAAUACGUAGGGUGCGAGCGUUAAUCGGAAUUACUGGGCGUAAAGCGUGCGCAGGCGGUUAUAUAAGACAGAUGUGAAAUCCCCGGGCUCAACCUGGGACCUGCAUUUGUGACUGUAUAGCUAGAGUACGGUAGAGGGGGAUGGAAUUCCGCGUGUAGCAGUGAAAUGCGUAGAUAUGCGGAGGAACACCGAUGGCGAAGGCAAUCCCCCGGACCUGUACUGACGCUCAUGCACGAAAGCGUGGGGAGCAAACA